RNAcentral lists this ribosomal RNA (373 nucleotides) under uncultured eukaryote. RNAcentral's name for it is "partial 18S ribosomal RNA". It matches the Rfam family "Eukaryotic small subunit ribosomal RNA", at positions 592 to 976 of the family's 1831-position model. The record is from RNAcentral.
CAAUAGCGUAUAUUAAAGUUGUUGCAGUUAAAAAGCUCGUAGUUGAAUUUUUGCUUGCCGCCGAUGUCGGAACUUCCGUACGUUCGGCGGCGUGCAUCCUUGGGUGGAACCUGUGUGGCAUUGGGUUGUCGUGCAGGGGAUGCUCAUCGUUUACUGUGAAAAAAUUAGAGUGUUCAAAGCAGGCUUAUGCCGUUGAAUAUAUUAGCAUGGAAUAAUAAGAUAGGACCUUGGUACUAUUUUGUUGGUUUGCGCACCGAGGUAAUGAUUAACAGGGACAGUUGGGGGUAUUCGUAUUCCAUUGUCAGAGGUGAAAUUCUUGGAUUUCUGGAAGACGAACUACUGCGAAAGCAUUUACCAAGGAUGUUUUCAUUAA